AUUCCAGCUCCAAUAGCGUAUAUUAAAGUUGUUGCAGUUAAAAAGCUCGUAGUUGGAUUUCUGGGAGGGUGCCGAUGUCCACUUAACGUGUGCGCAGCGGCGCCCUCUCAUCCUUCUGUUAGCGUCUCUUGGCAUUCAUUUGCUGGUGGCGGGCUCAGAUAUUUUACCUUGAGAAAAUUAGAGUGUUUCAGGCAGGCUAGGCCGGAAUACAUUAGCAUGGAAUAAUGGAAUAGGACUACGGUCUCUUUGUUGGUUUGAGGGACUGCAGUAAUGAUUAAUAGGGAUAGUUGGGGGCAUUAGUAUUUAAUUGUCAGAGGUGGAAUUCUCGGAUUUGUUAAAGACUAACUUAUGCGAAAGCAUUUGCCAAGGAUGUUUUCAUCG
RNAcentral lists this ribosomal RNA (381 nucleotides) under Strombidium sp. RNAcentral describes it as "partial small subunit ribosomal RNA". It matches the Rfam family "Eukaryotic small subunit ribosomal RNA", at positions 582 to 975 of the family's 1831-position model. The record is from RNAcentral. Lineage: Eukaryota; Ciliophora; Spirotrichea; Strombidiidae.